RNAcentral lists this ribosomal RNA (1477 nucleotides) under Lactiplantibacillus plantarum. RNAcentral's name for it is "bacterial SSU rRNA". It matches the Rfam family "Bacterial small subunit ribosomal RNA". The record is from RNAcentral. Lineage: Bacteria; Bacillati; Bacillota; Bacilli; Lactobacillales; Lactobacillaceae.
UGGGGCGGGCUUGCCUAUUACAUUGCAAGUCGAACGAACUCUGGUAUUGAUUGGUGCUUGCAUCAUGAUUUACAUUUGAGUGAGUGGCGAACUGGUGAGUAACACGUGGGAAACCUGCCCAGAAGCGGGGGAUAACACCUGGAAACAGAUGCUAAUACCGCAUAACAACUUGGACCGCAUGGUCCGAGUUUGAAAGAUGGCUUCGGCUAUCACUUUUGGAUGGUCCCGCGGCGUAUUAGCUAGAUGGUGAGGUAACGGCUCACCAUGGCAAUGAUACGUAGCCGACCUGAGAGGGUAAUCGGCCACAUUGGGACUGAGACACGGCCCAAACUCCUACGGGAGGCAGCAGUAGGGAAUCUUCCACAAUGGACGAAAGUCUGAUGGAGCAACGCCGCGUGAGUGAAGAAGGGUUUCGGCUCGUAAAACUCUGUUGUUAAAGAAGAACAUAUCUGAGAGUAACUGUUCAGGUAUUGACGGUAUUUAACCAGAAAGCCACGGCUAACUACGUGCCAGCAGCCGCGGUAAUACGUAGGUGGCAAGCGUUGUCCGGAUUUAUUGGGCGUAAAGCGAGCGCAGGCGGUUUUUUAAGUCUGAUGUGAAAGCCUUCGGCUCAACCGAAGAAGUGCAUCGGAAACUGGGGAAACUUGAGUGCAGAAGAGGACAGUGGAACUCCAUGUGUAGCGGUGAAAUGCGUAGAUAUAUGGAAGAACACCAGUGGCGAAAGGCGGCUGUCUGGUCUGUAACUGACGCUGAGGCUCGAAAGUAUGGGUAGCAAACAGGAUUAGAUACCCUGGUAGUCCAUACCGUAAACGAUGAAUGCUAAGUGUUGGAGGGUUUCCGCCCUUCAGUGCUGCAGCUAACGCAUUAAGCAUUCCGCCUGGGGAGUACGGCCGCAAGGCUGAAACUCAAAGGAAUUGACGGGGGCCCGCACAAGCGGUGGAGCAUGUGGUUUAAUUCGAAGCUACGCGAAGAACCUUACCAGGUCUUGACAUACUAUGCAAAUCUAAGAGAUUAGACGUUCCCUUCGGGGACAUGGAUACAGGUGGUGCAUGGUUGUCGUCAGCUCGUGUCGUGAGAUGUUGGGUUAAGUCCCGCAACGAGCGCAACCCUUAUUAUCAGUUGCCAGCAUUAAGUUGGGCACUCUGGUGAGACUGCCGGUGACAAACCGGAGGAAGGUGGGGAUGACGUCAAAUCAUCAUGCCCCUUAUGACCUGGGCUACACACGUGCUACAAUGGAUGGUACAACGAGUUGCGAACUCGCGAGAGUAAGCUAAUCUCUUAAAGCCAUUCUCAGUUCGGAUUGUAGGCUGCAACUCGCCUACAUGAAGUCGGAAUCGCUAGUAAUCGCGGAUCAGCAUGCCGCGGUGAAUACGUUCCCGGGCCUUGUACACACCGCCCGUCACACCAUGAGAGUUUGUAACACCCAAAGUCGGUGGGGUAACCUUUUAGGAACCAGCCGCCUUAAAGGGGACCAGAU